RNAcentral lists this ribosomal RNA (79 nucleotides) under Bacillus licheniformis. RNAcentral describes it as "partial 23S ribosomal RNA". The record is from RNAcentral. Lineage: Bacteria; Bacillati; Bacillota; Bacilli; Caryophanales; Bacillaceae.
AUCAGGUUGAUAGGUCUGAGGUGGAAGUGUGGCGACACAUGGAGCUGACAGAUACUAAUCGAUCGAGGACUUAACCUAA